RNAcentral lists this unclassified non-coding RNA (379 nucleotides) under uncultured bacterium. RNAcentral describes it as "contains 16S-23S intergenic spacer region". The record is from RNAcentral.
UCCGAGUUGACCCCGGCAGUCUCCUAUGAGUCCCCGGCUUGAACCGCUGGCAACAUAGGACAAGGGUUGCGCUCGUUGCGGGACUUAACCCAACAUCUCACGACACGAGCUGACGACAGCCAUGCAGCACCUGUCUCGCGAUUCCCGAAGGCACCCGGACAUUUCUGCCCAGUUCCGCGGAUGUCAAGGCCAGGUAAGGUUCUUCGCGUUGCAUCGAAUUGAACCACAUGCUCCACCGCUUGUGCGGGCCCCCGUCAAUUCCUUUGAGUUUCAGCCUUGCGGCCGUACUCCCCAGGCGGGGCACUUCCUGCGUUAGCGCCGGCACCCAAGGGGUCGCUCCCCCAGGCACCUAGUACCCAUCGUUUACGGCGUGGACUAC